Molecule: ribosomal RNA, 468 nt
Filed under: uncultured bacterium
Lineage: Bacteria
Description: partial 16S ribosomal RNA
Rfam family: Bacterial small subunit ribosomal RNA
Source: RNAcentral
GACGAACGCUGGCGGCGUGCUUAACACAUGCAAGUCGAACGGAAAGGCCCUGCUUUUGUGGGGUGCUCGAGUGGCGAACGGGUGAGUAACACGUGAGUAACCUGCCCUUGACUUUGGGAUAACUUCAGGAAACUGGGGCUAAUACCGGAUAGGAGCUCCUGCUGCAUGGUGGGGGUUGGAAAGUUUCGGCGGUUGGGGCUGGGCUCGCGGCUUAUCAGCUUGUUGGUGGGGUAGUGGCUUACCAAGGCUUUGACGGGUAGCCGGCCUGAGAGGGUGACCGGCCACAUUGGGACUGAGAGACGGCCCAGACUCCUACGGGAGGCAGCAGGGGGGAAUAUUGCACAAUGGGCGGAAGCCUGAUGCAGCAACGCCGCGUGCGGGAUGACGGCCUUCGGGUUGUAAACCGCUUUCGCCUGUGACGAAGAGUGAGUGACGGUAAUGGGUAAAGAAGCACCGGCUAACUACGUG